Oryza sativa Indica Group (long-grained rice) is the source of this 197-nucleotide microRNA precursor. It matches the Rfam family "MIR812 microRNA precursor family". NCBI's taxonomy places the organism in Eukaryota, Viridiplantae, Streptophyta, Magnoliopsida, Poales, Poaceae. The record is from Rfam.
UUUAAGUGCAACCAUGAGUUUCCGCGUCCAACUUUGAUCGUCCGUCUUAUUUUUUUUAUAAUUAGUAUUUUUGUUGUUAUGAGAUGAUAAAACAUGAAUAGUACUUUACUCAUAACUUAUGUUUUUAAUUUUUUUAAAAAAAAAUCAAAUGAGAUGACGAUCAAAGUUGGACGUGAAAAACCAUAGCUGCACUUAAA